GCAUUGGUGGUAAGAAGGCAUCUUGCCUUCCAUGCAGGAGACCCAGGUUCGAUUCCUGACCAAUGCA
This 67-nucleotide transfer RNA is filed under the name Loxodonta africana (African savanna elephant). It matches the Rfam family "tRNA". From Rfam's summary of the family: Transfer RNA (tRNA) molecules are approximately 80 nucleotides in length. Their secondary structure includes four short double-helical elements and three loops (D, anti-codon, and T loops). Further hydrogen bonds mediate the characteristic L-shaped molecular structure. tRNAs have two regions of fundamental functional importance: the anti-codon, which is responsible for specific mRNA codon recognition, and the 3' end, to which the tRNAs corresponding amino acid is attached (by aminoacyl-tRNA synthetases). tRNAs cope with the degeneracy of the genetic code in two manners: having more than one tRNA (with a specific anti-codon) for a particular amino acid; and 'wobble' base-pairing, i.e. permitting non-standard base-pairing at the 3rd anti-codon position. The record is from Rfam by way of RNAcentral. Lineage: Eukaryota; Metazoa; Chordata; Mammalia; Proboscidea; Elephantidae.